This 602-nucleotide long non-coding RNA is filed under the name Junco hyemalis (dark-eyed junco). RNAcentral describes it as "lncRNA (ENSJHYG00000009712.1)". The record is from RNAcentral. Lineage: Eukaryota; Metazoa; Chordata; Aves; Passeriformes; Passerellidae.
CAGGAUUUGCUCUCUUGAGUGCACUGAUGUCAGCAGCACCACUGUCCAUACAAGUGGCGCUCAAUGUGCUGACCGCGGGACGGAGGAGAAUGCAAUCCAUGGCCACUUCUGGGGUGUGCAGUGCACAGAGGAUGCCAUGCAGCAAACACAGAGGGCCUGUCACAUGGAGCAACAUCCCCAUUUCUAUUAGUGGUGAUGAGAAGUAAUUAGUUCUACAGGGUGACACCGUUUUUGUGUGAUUUUCUUGCAAGCCUAAGAAAAUGGUGAAAUAUAUUUUCCUCUCUAGGCUCAGAACAGGGCCUAGAAAUCAGGUAAACUCUCAGAUUUCAAAAGCAUUCACCUUUUCUUAAACUCCAGGUACUACAUGAGUUUUAAUAAGGUGCAAACAGGCCUAAAAUUAAAGUAAUAUGAGUGUGAUUGUUGGCUUUUGUUUAAAUCUCUGUGGAAUCCCUCAGAUGUAGAAAGAUUCUCUUGUAGUAAAGGACAUGUCAGACAUCAUGUUGGAAGUGGUACUGACUGGAGCCCAAGUACAAAAUAAGGUGAACCUCUCUAAUGAGCUCUGUUUUGAAGCUGAAGGAAAAAACCAAAAAGAUGACAGAUAA